UCAAACAUGAGUCUCAAAACCAGAGUUGCUGGGUGGAGCACAGCUGUGAUUGAUUGAAGACCUUCACCAAGCUGUUUCUUGUGAGGACCCAACAUGCAGAGGCCUGUAUGUGCUGGUGGGACAAAUAAAGGAGACGCACAUCUUCAUUGAAGACAGGAAGCUCAGCAAUCAUCCAGAGCAGCUGGUGUUCAGUGAACUUUGUGGCAGAAGGAGAAGAGAAAAAAAAGACAUCUACAAACACCAAAGAGGCAGCCGGUUUUUCAGCUACUGUUAAAGGCUCAUAAUUUCCAACUCAAACAAACUCACUAACAAACCAAAAAAUGUGAGAUGAAACGUCACAGUGGUUGAUUAUUUGCCAAAUGGAAAUAAAUGUGAAGAUUGGAAACUUGGAAA
This is a long non-coding RNA of Oryzias melastigma (Indian medaka), 393 nucleotides long. RefSeq lists it as uncharacterized. The record is from RefSeq and is a predicted model, not a curated record. The transcript has 2 exons. NCBI's taxonomy places the organism in Eukaryota, Metazoa, Chordata, Actinopteri, Beloniformes, Adrianichthyidae.